GGUCUAUGUGAAUAGCUGGAGUGCGUUCUGGGGAAAGCCUGGUCUAAUUAGGAGAGACGGCAUUCAUCCUACUUUGGACGGAGCCGCUCUCAUAU
Long non-coding RNA from Etheostoma spectabile (orangethroat darter), 95 nucleotides. RefSeq lists it as uncharacterized. The transcript is spliced from 3 exons. The record is from RefSeq and is a predicted model, not a curated record. NCBI's taxonomy places the organism in Eukaryota, Metazoa, Chordata, Actinopteri, Perciformes, Percidae.